This 255-nucleotide ribosomal RNA is filed under the name uncultured bacterium. RNAcentral's name for it is "partial 16S ribosomal RNA". It matches the Rfam family "Bacterial small subunit ribosomal RNA", at positions 524 to 776 of the family's 1533-position model. The record is from RNAcentral.
UACGUAGGGACCGAGCGUUGUCCGGAAUCAUUGGGCGUAAAGAGCGUGUAGGCGGCUUGUUAAGUCUUGCGUGAAAUCUCGGGGCUCAACCCCGAGCGGUCGUGAGAAACUGGCAGGCUAGAGUGCGGGAGAGGAGAGUGGAAUUCCUGGUGUAGCGGUGAAAUGCGCAGAUAUCAGGAAGAACACCAAUGGCGAAGGCAGCUCUCUGGGACGGUACUGACGCUGAGACGCGAAAAGCGUGGGGGAGCGAACAGG